GUCUAUGGCCACGUGACCCUGAACUUGCCCCAUCUCCUCUCAUCUUGGAAGCUAAGCAGGGUCAGGCCUGGUUUGUACUUGGAUGGCAGACCGUCUGGGAAUACCAGGUGCUGUAGGCU
Ribosomal RNA from Mesocricetus auratus (golden hamster), 119 nucleotides. The record is from Ensembl. NCBI's taxonomy places the organism in Eukaryota, Metazoa, Chordata, Mammalia, Rodentia, Cricetidae.